Sus scrofa (pig) is the source of this 3818-nucleotide non-coding RNA. The record is from RefSeq and is a predicted model, not a curated record. Lineage: Eukaryota; Metazoa; Chordata; Mammalia; Artiodactyla; Suidae.
GAAAACCUCCUGGGUUAGCCAGGGGGAAAGAGAAGAGUGAGUGACCUCUUUUAGAAAGCACUGCAGCCCUAGAAAUCUGACUAAUGGCUGGAGAGGGUACGUGAUGAUAACUCACAGCGGCCACUUGGAUUUAAUUAUAGCAACAUUUGCAGACAAUAAGUGGGUCUUGAGUGAAGCUGGCCUGAUGAUAUGGCAGUGACAAAAGCUAAUCUGGAUUUCUGGCCAAAAGAAUGGAUGAGAAAUGACAAAUGACUUCGGAAGGUUUCCUCUAGGAGGCCAGAUGUUUUAUCCUGCUAUGUUAAGUCAUCUUGACAUGUUGCCACGAAGUGGAAACAACUGCUAGUUUGAAUAUUGCUCCAUAUCUUUAUUACAAGGUGAGAGUUGCCCCAUACACCUUUAAGACUUUCUAGCUGUGCUGGAAGAUUCCCAAGUGUGCACAGUCCUGCUAAUGAUGCUGUGAACCUGGUGGAAAGGAAGAGACAUUCAUAACACAGUAUGGUCAGUGCCGUCCUAAAGAUGUUACUUUCACAUCAUCUGUACAGAUGUUACUACACAUGAGCCAGUUGAAGCUGAAGAACUGGAGCCACGAGGGUAUGAAAGAAGAGCAAGUCAUGAUCCACGUCAAGUCUGAAGCCUCUUCCUAUUGAUUGCCUUACCUGUCAGUAACUCAAUAAGCAACAUUACCUCUUUCAAGAAUCAAUGAACAGAAAUGCUAUGAGGAAACAAAUUAAGAGAAAUCUUCAUUCCUGAACACACCAUCGUGGUGUAGAGUCUAAGAAAGAACAUGGCACCAGGAAUCAAAAGAUGGCAAUACUCACAGCCUAGAGCUUCCUGCUACCAGCCUAUAGUACAAGGCAGCUGAUGGAAACUCAACUUCCUCAUCUGUGACAUGGGAAUGAUACUAGUCCUAAGUAUGUCAUAGGAUUGCUAUGAAUAUUGAAUCACAUCAUGUUUUGAAAUCUUGAAGUUUUUCUAAAAUAUGAACCAUUAUUAUGACAUACAUAGAUUUAAAAAAAGGAAGAGAGUUUGGAAGAGACAAGAAUGGAGAAUAAUACAUUUAAUUGCUUUUUACUCCCUGUUAACCAUGUUCCUAAAACUAAUUUCAUAAAAUCCCCUGAGUUUCAUCCUUUGCUAAAGCUCUAGAAGGUAAUGAAGGCCUUUCAUUCAUACAUAUUUAUCAAGUGCCCUGUAAACCCUGAUCACACUAGUGAACAAAACAAAGAGGUCUGCCUUCAGGGUGCUUCUUUGCCAUUUGGUAAUCCCAGGGAUGGUGCUUGAGAAAGUCCUCUGACCUACAGCUGCCACAGUGAAGUCCCAGGCUCUUGCUUGCCUCGUCUUCCACCCAAUGUAAUCCUGGGGCCCAGAUCUCUCAAAAAUCCACAACUAGCCUUUAAUCCAGAGUCAGGCAUUUGGCCUUUACACCAGGCCAAGGUUUGGUGCUCAGAAGGUGGACAGGAACAACAUACUGAGUGCCUGCAAUGCCCUCAGAGAACUAGUAUCUGGGUUUAAUUUCCACUGUCUGUCAGAGUGGAGCUUUGAUCAGACGCUGCAUUUUUUCACUUCUCCUAAGUGACUAGAGGCUACUACCAGUCCAUUAUGACUGCCUCUGUGAGAGCUUGGGGUUGGCCAUGACAUCAGAGAUUUAUUUACAUGAAUUUCCACUGAAUCGCCUUGCUCAGGCUUCCCUCUCCCUGUUCCACUCCUGGAACAGUUAGUGCCAGGGGCUCAACAUGGGAGCAAAUGUGUAUCCAGGAAGGUAAGAGAUGGGAAGCAGGGUGGGGACCCACACUAUCACAGAAGGAAGUGGAGCACCAGUAAGUGACUGCAGCUGGCUCUUAAUGGCUUUUCUUCUCUGCCGUCAUUUUCCUUUAAGCCCAAAAGAAACUCUUUGUAAUACGUGUUAAAAUUAUGGUUCAGAUUUCUGAUGAUCAAGUUACAUAGAUUAAAGUAAUGGAUACCAGACUCCACAUCAAUUCAGGUAUAAAUAUGGAUGAAAUGAAUGUACAUUAUCCACUGUUAUAAAUCUGUGUGUUCAAGGAAAGACAUCAAUCUCCCAAACCUUUCCUACCUCAGGCUAUGAAGGUUUUUUUUUUUUUUUUUCAGUGUUUUCAAUGAAAUUAUGAUUUGGAGUAAUUUGCUGGUUUUGCAGAAACCUCUGGCUUUUUUUUUUUUUUUUACAAGAAAGGGUAGAGUAUAUUAUUUAUAAUGGCAAGUCAUUAAAAUGCUCCAGGAAGUCAUCAUUGCAGCAGGGGUUGGAGAGGGAAGGGGUUAUAUGGCAUUCCAGAUGUGCAUGUGUGGAGAAGGGCCAUGCGCUUGGAGAAAUUUAUAGCACCUGGCUCCAUUGUAAAGGGUUCUUGGCCCGGGGGCAUUUCUGUUUGCUCCCCCUCCCCUUGGCCUAUCAACACUCUUCAUGGAGUGGCUCAAAGGUGUCAGUGCGUGAUGGACAUAUGGCCACAGGAUGCUGUGGUCUGGACUGGAAGAUGGAGUUCUUACUCCCGCACAGCCACAGGGCUGAUGAAAGUGUCUGAGCUCCUGGUAGCCUCGAGUCCCCACAGGAGCAAGGAGGAGCCUCCUUGUGUGAGGGAUGAACAGAGCCGAACACUCUGCAGACACACGUGCCCCAGCAUGCAACUCAACAGCUACACAUUUGGUCACCCCGGUUUACCCCAAGGUAAUUUUAUACAUUUUAUACAAUCCAUAAAAUGAAGAUGAAAAUCAUAUUCCGUAUGAGGGAUAAGGACUAAGACGGUAUGUCUGAAGGCACCCAGAUCUUUCUACUGAAACUCCCCACUUAUAGCUUAAUGGACUCAUGACCACCAAUGUCCCAAGCAGAACUGUGUCAGAGACCCCUAGCCAUCCUCUAGCUCCCCACAGCUACAGCCCCUGCUGACUCCACAUGGUGGUUCAGCUGUUUCUCAAGUCCUGGUCACAAAUGAAGAACUAAACAAGGAGGUUCUUUCUGUGGUAUUGCUCCAGGCUCCCUCCUGUGCAGCAUCCAAAUUGACCCACAACCACUUUUUCCUCAUUCCUGCCAGCAGAAGGGAAAAUAGGAAAAGGAGGGCAUGCCCCUUCCCUGUAAGGACAAACCUAGAAAUGACCUCAUCCUUUCCUUCACAUUCCACUGGUCUGAACUCUGUCAGGUGGUCCUACCUAAUCAUGAAGGGGAGUGCAGAAAGCAUCCUUCAGCUGGGUAGCCAAGGACCCCACUAAAUUCCCUUACAUGGAGGGAAGGGAUAUGGAUACAGAGUGAUAAUUAAUAGUCCCUUCUAAAGAGGGGUCACUGGGAGUUAUUCUAGAAACUCAAACAGGACUAUAUGCAUGAAGAGACACUUGGGUUCUCUAGGAGUGGGGAAAGGAAGUUUGUUGCCCAUGGAUCAUGAAAUGUGUUUAUAUCUAAUAGUCAGAUUAAUCAGGACUUAGCUCUAUGGUUCACUUUGUUAAUUUGCAGAUUCCAGAAGCCAAGGUAACUGGGCCUGUCCUAUUACAGGACAAGGAAAGUGGACUUUCCUCUGCAACCACAGUCAGUCAUCCUAUGCCUACCCAAUGCACAGCACAUUUUUUACCUUGGUACUUCCAGCACAUUUCCCAUGCCUGACCUACAGCUGUUCAUUCACCGUUGUUGAAUGAAUGAGUGAGUGAAUGGAUAAAGAAGUUAGAGAGUGAAAUAAAGAAGGAGUAGAAACUGCAAAAUGAGAUGGCAGGAAUGGCAGUUGGCACUUUCAAAAACAAAGCUAAAUCAGAAGACCUUAACAGAUAUUUCUCCAAAGAAGAAGCACAGAGGGCCAAAGGACACAUGAAAAAAUGUUCAACAUCGCCAA